RNAcentral lists this ribosomal RNA (406 nucleotides) under Verrucomicrobiota bacterium. Its description in RNAcentral is "Verrucomicrobia bacterium partial 16S ribosomal RNA". It matches the Rfam family "Bacterial small subunit ribosomal RNA", at positions 355 to 776 of the family's 1533-position model. Lineage: Bacteria; Pseudomonadati; Verrucomicrobiota. The record is from RNAcentral.
UGGGGAAUAUUGGGCAAUGGGCGAAAGCCUGACCCAGCAACGCCGCGUGAGUGAUGAAGGCCUUCGGGUUGUAAAACUCUUUGGACAGGGACGAAGAAAGUGACGGUACCUGUAGAACAAGCCACGGCUAACUACGUGCCAGCAGCCGCGGUAAUACGUAGGUGGCGAGCGUUAUCCGGAUUUACUGGGCGUAAAGCGCGCGUAGGCGGUUUGUUAGGUCAGGAGUUAAAUCUGGGGGCUCAACCCCUAUCCGCUCCUGAUACCGGCAGGCUUGAGUCUGGUAGGGGAAGGCGGAAUUCCAAGUGUAGCGGUGAAAUGCGCAGAUAUUUGGAAGAACACCGGUGGCGAAGGCGGCCUUCUGGGCCACGACUGACGCUGAGGCGCGAAAGCUAGGGGAGCGAACAGG